This 421-nucleotide ribosomal RNA is filed under the name uncultured bacterium. Its description in RNAcentral is "partial 16S ribosomal RNA". It matches the Rfam family "Bacterial small subunit ribosomal RNA", at positions 360 to 773 of the family's 1533-position model. The record is from RNAcentral.
AAUAUUGGACAAUGGGGGCAAUCCUGAUCCAGCCAUGCCGCGUGUGUGAAGAAGGUCUUCGGAUUGUAAAGCACUUCAAGUUGGAAGGAAGGGCUUUAGGUUAAUACCCUGAAGUUUUGACGUUACCAACAGAAUAAGAACCGGAUAACUCAGCGCUAGCAGCCGCGGUAAUACAGCGGGUGCAAGCGUUAAUCGGAAUUCCUGGGCGUAAAGCGCGCGUAGGUUGUUCAGUAAGAUGGGUUUGAAAUCCCCGGGCUUAACCUGGGAACUGCUUUCAUAACUGCUGAGCUAGAGUACGGUAGAGGGUAGCGGAAUUUCCUGUGUAGCGGUGAAAUGCGUAGAUAUAGGAAGGAACACCAGUGGCGAAGGCGACUACCUGGACUGAUACUGACACUGAGGUGCGAAAGCGUGGGGAGCAAAC